RNAcentral lists this ribosomal RNA (681 nucleotides) under Flavobacterium sp. B297_1. Its description in RNAcentral is "bacterial SSU rRNA". It matches the Rfam family "Bacterial small subunit ribosomal RNA", at positions 73 to 753 of the family's 1533-position model. The record is from RNAcentral. Lineage: Bacteria; Pseudomonadati; Bacteroidota; Flavobacteriia; Flavobacteriales; Flavobacteriaceae.
AGUUAGCUUGCUAACUUGAGACCGGCGCACGGGUGCGUAACGCGUAUGCAAUCUACCUUUCACAAAGGGAUAGCCCAGAGAAAUUUGGAUUAAUACCUUAUAGUAUAUAUGAAUGGCAUCAUUUAUAUAUUAAAGAUUUAUCGGUGAAAGAUGAGCAUGCGUCCCAUUAGCUAGUUGGUAAGGUAACGGCUUACCAAGGCAACGAUGGGUAGGGGUCCUGAGAGGGAGAUCCCCCACACUGGUACUGAGACACGGACCAGACUCCUACGGGAGGCAGCAGUGAGGAAUAUUGGACAAUGGGCGCAAGCCUGAUCCAGCCAUGCCGCGUGCAGGAUGACGGUCCUAUGGAUUGUAAACUGCUUUUAUACGAGAAGAAACCCUCCGACGUGUCGGAGCUUGACGGUAUCGUAAGAAUAAGGAUCGGCUAACUCCGUGCCAGCAGCCGCGGUAAUACGGAGGAUCCAAGCGUUAUCCGGAAUCAUUGGGUUUAAAGGGUCCGUAGGCGGUCAGGUAAGUCAGUGGUGAAAGCCCAUCGCUCAACGGUGGAACGGCCAUUGAUACUGUCUGACUUGAAUUAUUAGGAAGUAACUAGAAUAUGUAGUGUAGCGGUGAAAUGCUUAGAGAUUACAUGGAAUACCAAUUGCGAAGGCAGGUUACUACUAAUGGAUUGACGCUGAUGGA